UGUCCCUCUUUAGGUCCUCUUCUUUCCCUCUGCUCCUCUUUAGGUCCUCCUCUUUCCCUCUGCUCCUCUCUGUCCCUCUAGGCUUUCUGUUUAGUUCUUUAUCUGCUAUGCUGUUCUUCUUCUUUCUUCUUCUCCAUUCCACUGUUCUGAAUGCUUUCCUGUCUUCUGCUGAGCUCUGAAAAACUGCUUUCAUCUUUUAGUAGUCUAGUCAGCAUCUUCCAUCUCCUCUCCUUUUUCUCUGUCAUGUUCUAUGCCCAUAGCUUUCAUUUUUCUCUGAAGUCGGCUCUCUUUUCUCGUGUACCUCUUCUUCUCUAUUUAUAUUGACCCUUCCAUGUCUUUUUUCAAAUCUUGCUUUCAAGUCUGUCACCUUUUAUUCCUGUGUGCUUUUACAAACUAGUCCUUUUCUCUCCCUAUAACUUAUUUUCCUUCAUUAUGAACUUCUCUUCAGUAGUGUAUCUUGUAGAACUUCCUGUCCACCUAUCUGUAGUUCUCUAUAAUACAUGCUAAUUAGGAUUUAUAUCGCUAUUCUGUGGCUUGUAGCUUUAACAGUGCUUGUUGCUUCUUUACCCUGUAGCUUUUAGCCUACUCAAUUUCCUCUUCAUUAUUUUGCUUCCAUCUUUGCAUGCCUUUAAAAACUGCUCUCUGGUCAUAGUGAGCUAUUCUUUAGUCUCUUUUCUGUCAUAUUCUUUUGACAUUUAAUAUUGUUCCUUGAAUAAAGUUCAGUGCCAAUCCCUAGAAACAGUGCAAUCAUGUUGAUGGUCAAGUGAUGUGAAAGCAGGAAUUUCAGAUGAGUUGAGAAAAAAAUCAGGACUUUGAAUGUGAUGAAUGUCAAUCUAUCAACUCACUGAACUGUCCCUGUAAUAUGAUUGAUUGUCCAUUGCUGCAGCACUCGUCAUUGCUGUCUCUCAGUUCUGAUCAUAGUUAUCUUCUUCAAUAAAUGCCUUUUUGUCAA
Coregonus clupeaformis (lake whitefish) is the source of this 952-nucleotide long non-coding RNA. RefSeq lists it as uncharacterized. The transcript has 2 exons. Lineage: Eukaryota; Metazoa; Chordata; Actinopteri; Salmoniformes; Salmonidae. The record is from RefSeq and is a predicted model, not a curated record.